RNAcentral lists this ribosomal RNA (405 nucleotides) under uncultured bacterium. RNAcentral's name for it is "bacterial SSU rRNA". It matches the Rfam family "Bacterial small subunit ribosomal RNA", at positions 355 to 776 of the family's 1533-position model. The record is from RNAcentral.
UGGGGAAUCUUGCGCAAUGGGCGAAAGCCUGACGCAGCAACGCCGCGUGCGGGAAGAAGGCCCUCGGGUUGUAAACCGCUUUCAGCAGGAACGAAAAUGACGGUACUUGCAGAAGAAGGUGCGGCCAACUACGUGCCAGCAGCCGCGGUGACACGUAGGCACCAAGCGUUGUCCGGAUUUAUUGGGCGUAAAGAGCUCGUAGGCGGUUCGGUAAGUCGGGUGUGAAAACUUGGGGCUUAACCCCAAGCCUGCAUCUGAUACUGCUGUGACUAGAGUUCGGUAGGGGAGCGGGGAAUUCCUAGUGUAGCGGUGAAAUGCGCAGAUAUUAGGAGGAACACCGGUGGCGAAGGCGCCGCUCUGGGCCGAUACUGACGCUGAGGAGCGAAAGCGUGGGUAGCAAACAGG